CUUGUAAGAGGUCCCGCCUGCCCUGUGACGUUUAACGGCCGCGGUAUCUUGACCGUGCGAAGGUAGCGCAAUCACUUGUCCUUUAAAUGGGGACCUGUAUGAAUGGCACGACGAGGGUUUAACUGUCUCCUUUCUCCAGUCAGUGAAACUGAUCUUCCCGUGCAGAAGCGGGGGUAACCCUAAAAGACGAGAAGACCCUAUGGAGCUUUUUGGUUGGGGCGACCGUGGGGCCCCAGCCCAGAGCUCCAAGCAUCAAAAUUUGACCAGAUCCGGGAUCAACGAACCGAGUUACCCUAGGGAUAACAGCGCAAUCCUCUCCCAGAGCCCCUAUCGACGAGUGGGUUUACGACCUCGAUGUUGGAUCAGGACAUCCUAAUGGUGCAGCCGCUAUUAAGGGUUCGUUUGUUCAACGAUUAAAGUCGCUCGGCCGUAAACUUAGAUAACUUUAUCCGCCCAGGUACUACGAGCAUAAGCUUAAAACCCAAAGGACUUGGCGGUGCUUCAGACCCUCCUAGAGGAGCCUGUUCUAGAACCGAUAUUCCUCGUUAAACCUCACCGCCUCUUGCCCGCCUAUAUACCGCCGUCGUCAGCUUACCCUUUGAAGGUAAUAAAGUAAGCGAAACAGU
RNAcentral lists this ribosomal RNA (626 nucleotides) under Synodus foetens (inshore lizardfish). RNAcentral describes it as "partial 16S ribosomal RNA". The stretch from base 1 to 498 matches the Rfam family "Bacterial large subunit ribosomal RNA", at positions 1842 to 2925 of the family's 2925-position model. The record is from RNAcentral. Lineage: Eukaryota; Metazoa; Chordata; Actinopteri; Aulopiformes; Synodontidae.